CUCAGGUGAUGAAAAUGUUCCAAGACUAGAUUAAGAUGAUGGUUGUGCAACGUGGUAAAUUUGCAAAGGCAUUACACACUUACAAUCUAGGUAACUUUUGUGGUCUGAAAGUUACACUUCAAUAAAGUCAAAUUCUGUUAGUGAAAUAAAGAGAAAACAGAGCAAUAAAAUCUAGAUAAGCAUCAUCCAAGAAUAGCCACCUGGAGUAUUUCAAUGUCAAAUAGGAAAAGCAGGUGACAGAGCAAUUGAGAUAAAAGCUUGGCUCUCGGGCUUGGGCAUGGAGGACAGGUUAUUUUAAGCAGCAGUCCUUAUGUCAAUGAGUUCACAUCUCAGGACAGAGCUGUCCCUCUCCCCCUCUACUGAGUUUGCUCUGGCUGGCUGACCCAUCCUGGGAAUGUGCCCCAUGUCCACUGACUUCUCUGCGAUGAAGCCAAGGCCCCCUGCAGACACAGUCAGUCCUCCAGCACAGAAGCCAGCAGGGAGAGGUGGGGACAAGCAAGCUCCAUUUAAGGCUGGAAUGGACAUCAAGCUCAGCACUGCUGACAUUUGGGGCCGGAUCAUCCUUUCCUGUGGAGGCUGUUCCAUGCAUUGAGGACCUCUCCAUGCCUGGACUCUGUCCACUAGAUGCCAACAGGAUACACACACAUGUGGGGGGCCUUGCCCCCCCGCUAGAACUCUUGAGUGCCUUUUACGGACAUAUCCGGGCCUGCUGCAAAUCUACCCGGCAACAAGGAAGUAGCCCCAGUACCCUCCUCUUGCUCCUCCCCUCUAGCCCUACGGUAUAUAUGUUGUAACAGCUUCUGCAAUAAACGAGACUUGAUC
Molecule: long non-coding RNA, 822 nt
Organism: Heterocephalus glaber (naked mole-rat)
Lineage: Eukaryota; Metazoa; Chordata; Mammalia; Rodentia; Bathyergidae
Source: Ensembl